GGAGGACCGAACUCGUGAGCGUUGAAAAGCUUUGGGAUGAGUUGUGGAUAGGGGUGAAAUGCCAAUCGAACACGGAGAUAGCUGGUUCUCCCCGAAAUAGCUUUAGGGCUAGCCUCGAGGUAGAGAGUAUAGGCGGUAGAGCACUGAUCGGGCUAGGGGCCAUACCGGUUACCGAACCUAGUCAAACUACGAAUGGCUAUACUUAUACUCGGGAGUCAGACAGUGAAUGAUAAGGUCCAUUGUCAAGAGGGAAACAGCCCAGAACACCGACUAAGGUCCCCAAUGUUACACUAAGUGGCGAAGGAUGUGGAAUUUCCAAAACAACCAGGAUGUUGGCUUAGAAGCAGCCACCAUUUAAAGAGUGCGUAAUAGCUCACUGGUCGAGAGACUCUGCGCCGAAAAUGUCCGGGGCUAAAGUGUAAAACCGAAGUCGUGUCAUAUGCAGCAAUGUAUAUGGGUAGGGGAGCGUUCUCAUCGGGCUGAAGCAGUACCGUAAGGAGUUGUGGACUGAUGAGAAGUGAGAAUGUCGGUAUGAGUAGCGAAAAGAAUGGUGAGAAUCCAUUCCACCGAAAGCCUAAGGGUUCCUGAGCAACGAUCGUCGUCUCAGGGUAAGUCGGGACCUAAGCCGAGGCGGAAAAGCGUAGGCGAUGGACAACAGGUUGAAAUUCCUGUACCGGUGUGAAUCGUUUGAUCGAUGGAGUGACACAGUAAGGUAGGUCAGCACGCGAUUGGAAGAGCGUGUUUAAGCAGGUAGGUUGAGCUAUAGGCAAAUCCGUAGCUCUAAAAGCUGAGAUGUGAUGACGAGCUGUUUACAGCGAAGUGAUUGAUCCUACACUGUCGAGAAAAGCUUCUAGGUAGAGACACAUCGCCCGUACCAAAACCGACACAGGUAGGCGGGGAGAGAAUCCUAAGGUGCGCGGGAAAACCCUCGUUAAGGAACUCGGCAAAAUGACCCCGUAACUUCGGGAAAAGGAGGACUCAUGUAGUGUGAAGGGCAGUAACGCGUGGAGCAUGAAUGAGUGGCACAAGAGAGGCGCAAGCGACUGUUUACCACAAACACAGGUGCCUGCUAAAGCGAAAGCUGAUGUAUAGGUGCUGACACCUGCCCGGUGCUGGAAGGUUAAGAGGAGGGGUUAGACUUCGGUCGAAGCUCUGAAUUGAAGCCCCAGUAAACGGCGGCCGUAACUAUAACGGUCCUAAGGUAGCGAAAUUCCUUGUCGGGUAAGUUCCGACCCGCACGAAAGGUGUAACGACU
This 1255-nucleotide ribosomal RNA is filed under the name metagenome. RNAcentral describes it as "bacterial LSU rRNA". It matches the Rfam family "Bacterial large subunit ribosomal RNA", at positions 768 to 2009 of the family's 2925-position model. The record is from RNAcentral.